GACCAUUUUGGUAGCUUCAGUGGUUAGAGCAUCUGCCUCAGAAACAGGAGGUCAUGUGUUCAAAUCCUGGCCAAGUCA
Potamilus streckersoni is the source of this 78-nucleotide non-coding RNA. The record is from the annotation of a GenBank genome assembly. NCBI's taxonomy places the organism in Eukaryota, Metazoa, Mollusca, Bivalvia, Unionida, Unionidae.